GCCGAUUUAGCUCACCCGGUAGAGCAGCGCAUUCGUAACGCGCAGGUACUCAGUUCAAGUCUGGGAAUCGGCU
RNAcentral lists this transfer RNA (73 nucleotides) under Treponema sp. Its description in RNAcentral is "tRNA-Thr". It matches the Rfam family "tRNA". From Rfam's summary of the family: Transfer RNA (tRNA) molecules are approximately 80 nucleotides in length. Their secondary structure includes four short double-helical elements and three loops (D, anti-codon, and T loops). The record is from RNAcentral. Lineage: Bacteria; Pseudomonadati; Spirochaetota; Spirochaetia; Treponematales; Treponemataceae.